Molecule: ribosomal RNA, 602 nt
Filed under: Bacillus licheniformis
Lineage: Bacteria; Bacillati; Bacillota; Bacilli; Caryophanales; Bacillaceae
Description: bacterial SSU rRNA
Rfam family: Bacterial small subunit ribosomal RNA
Source: RNAcentral
GUCGAGCGGACAGAUGGGAGCUUGCUCCCUGAUGUUAGCGGCGGACGGGUGAGUAACACGUGGGUAACCUGCCUGUAAGACUGGGAUAACUCCGGGAAACCGGGGCUAAUACCGGAUGCUUGAUUGAACCGCAUGGUUCAAUUAUAAAAGGUGGCUUUUAGCUACCACUUACAGAUGGACCCGCGGCGCAUUAGCUAGUUGGUGAGGUAACGGCUCACCAAGGCAACGAUGCGUAGCCGACCUGAGAGGGUGAUCGGCCACACUGGGACUGAGACACGGCCCAGACUCCUACGGGAGGCAGCAGUAGGGAAUCUUCCGCAAUGGACGAAAGUCUGACGGAGCAACGCCGCGUGAGUGAUGAAGGUUUUCGGAUCGUAAAACUCUGUUGUUAGGGAAGAACAAGUACCGUUCGAAUAGGGCGGUACCUUGACGGUACCUAACCAGAAAGCCACGGCUAACUACGUGCCAGCAGCCGCGGUAAUACGUAGGUGGCAAGCGUUGUCCGGAAUUAUUGGGCGUAAAGCGCGCGCAGGCGGUUUCUUAAGUCUGAUGUGAAAGCCCCCGGCUCAACCGGGGAGGGUCAUUGGAAACUGGGGAACUUG